GACGAACGCUGGCGGCGUGCCUAAUACAUGCAAGUUGAGCGCUGAAGGUUGGUACUUGUACCGACUGGAUGAGCAGCGAACGGGUGAGUAACGCGUGGGGAAUCUGCCUUUGAGCGGGGGACAACAUUUGGAAACGAAUGCUAAUACCGCAUAAAAACUUUAAACACAAGUUUUAAGUUUGAAAGAUGCAAUUGCAUCACUCAAAGAUGAUCCCGCGUUGUAUUAGCUAGUUGGUGAGGUAAAGGCUCACCAAGGCGAUGAUACAUAGCCGACCUGAGAGGGUGAUCGGCCACAUUGGGACUGAGACACGGCCCAAACCCCUACGGGAGGCAGCAGUAGGGAAUCUUCGGCAAUGGACGAAAGUCUGACCGAGCAACGCCGCGUGAGUGAAGAAGGUUUUCGGAUCGUAAAACUCUGUUGGUAGAGAAGAACGUUGGUGAGAGUGGAAAGCUCAUCAAGUGACGGUAACUACACAGAAAGGGACGGCUAACUACGUG
This 497-nucleotide ribosomal RNA is filed under the name uncultured bacterium. RNAcentral describes it as "partial 16S ribosomal RNA". It matches the Rfam family "Bacterial small subunit ribosomal RNA", at positions 28 to 507 of the family's 1533-position model. The record is from RNAcentral.